CCUACGGGUGGCAGCAGUGAGGAAUAUUGGUCAAUGGCCGUAAGUCUGAACCAGCCAAGUCGCGUGAAGGAUGAAGGUUCUAUGGAUCGUAAACUUCUUUUAUACGGGAAUAAAGUGUUGGACGUGUGGUUUUUUGCAUGUACCUUAUGAAUAAGGAUCGGCUAACUCCGUGCCAGCAGCCGCGGUACUACGGAGGAUCCGAGCGUUAUCCGGAUUUAUUGGGUUUAAAGGGUGCGCAGGCUGCUUUUUAAGUCAGCGGUGAAAGUCUGUGGCUCAACCAUAGAAUUGCCGUUGAAACUGGGAGGCUUGAGUGUGUUUGAGGCAGGCGGAAUGCGUGGUGUAGCGGUGAAAUGCUUAGAUAUCACGCAGAACUCCGAUUGCGAAGGCAGCCUACCAAGCCAUGACUGACGCUGAUGCACGAAGGCGUGGGGAUCAAACAGGAUUAGAUACCCCAGUAGUC
RNAcentral lists this ribosomal RNA (460 nucleotides) under uncultured bacterium. Its description in RNAcentral is "partial 16S ribosomal RNA". It matches the Rfam family "Bacterial small subunit ribosomal RNA", at positions 338 to 795 of the family's 1533-position model. The record is from RNAcentral.